This 539-nucleotide ribosomal RNA is filed under the name uncultured bacterium. RNAcentral describes it as "bacterial SSU rRNA". It matches the Rfam family "Bacterial small subunit ribosomal RNA", at positions 9 to 594 of the family's 1533-position model. The record is from RNAcentral.
GAGUUUGAUCCUGGCUCAGAGCGAACGCUGGCGGCAGGCUUAACACAUGCAAGUCGAGCGGGCACUUCGGUGUCAGCGGCAGACGGGUGAGUAACGCGUGGGAACAUACCUUUUGGUUCGGAACAACACAGGGAAACUUGUGCUAAUACCGGAUAAGCCCUUACGGGGAAAGAUUUAUCGCCGAAAGAUUGGCCCGCGUCUGAUUAGCUUGUUGGUGAGGUAACGGCUCACCAAGGCGACGAUCAGUAGCUGGUCUGAGAGGAUGAUCAGCCACAUUGGGACUGAGACACGGCCCAAACUCCUACGGGAGGCAGCAGUGGGGAAUAUUGGACAAUGGGCGCAAGCCUGAUCCAGCCAUGCCGCGUGAGUGAUGAAGGCCCUAGGGUUGUAAAGCUCUUUUAACGGGGAAGAUAAUGACGGUGCCCGUAGAAUAAGCCCCGGCUAACUUCGUGCCAGCAGCCGCGGUAAUACGAAGGGGGCUAGCGUUGCUCGGAAUCACUGGGCGUAAAGGGUGCGUAGGUGGAUAUUUAAGUCAGGGG